RNAcentral lists this transfer RNA (73 nucleotides) under Hofstenia miamia. RNAcentral describes it as "tRNA-Phe for anticodon AAA". Lineage: Eukaryota; Metazoa; Xenacoelomorpha; Acoela; Hofsteniidae. The record is from RNAcentral.
GGCACCAUGGUGUAGUUGUUAUCACAUAUGCCUAAAACGAAGUAGGUCCCUAGUUCGAGCCUGGGUGGUGUCA